RNAcentral lists this ribosomal RNA (484 nucleotides) under uncultured bacterium. RNAcentral's name for it is "partial 16S ribosomal RNA". It matches the Rfam family "Bacterial small subunit ribosomal RNA", at positions 30 to 507 of the family's 1533-position model. The record is from RNAcentral.
AUUGAACGCUGGCGGCAUGCCUAACACAUGCAAGUCGAGCGGAUGAAGGGGGCUUGCUCCUGGAUUCAGCGGCGGACGGGUGAGUAAUGCCUAGGAAUCUGCCUGGUAGUGGGGGAUAACGUCCGGAAACGGGCGCUAAUACCGCAUACGUCCUUAGGUAGAAAUUGGUUGAUCUUCGGACCUCACGCUAUCAGAUGAGCCUAGGUCGGUUUAGCUAGUUGGUGGGGUAAAGGCAUACCAAGGCGACGAUCCGUAACUGGGCUGAGAGGAUGAUCAGACAGACUGGCACUGAGAAACGGUACAGACUCCUACGCGAGGCAGCAGUGGGGAAUAUUAGACGAUGGAGGAAAGCGUGAUACAGCAAUGCCGCGUAUGUGCAGAGGGUCUUAGGAUUGUAAAGCAAUGUAGGCUGGGAGGAUGGACAGUAAGUUAAUACCUUGCUGUUUUGACGUUACCAACAGAAUAAGCACCGGCUAACUUCGUG